AUGCACUAGACGGGGAACUAGCGAUGCCUUGUAACCUGCAAUUCGCUAUAGCAGGGUUUAAUUCCCAGUAGAGGGAUAUUUUCUAACUAAAAGCCUAUAUAAAUGGGUGUUGACUGUUAGGUCUUACGCAACAGAAAACUAUGAACCAUGUCAGGACGGGAACGUAGCAGCAUUAAGUAGAUCUUUCUGUGUGCCGUAAGGUCACCUAACACGAGCUUUGUUUAUAUAGUUACUCUAGUGAGAAUUUAUUUCAAAACUGGGUGUGCUU
This 268-nucleotide signal recognition particle RNA is filed under the name Anaerococcus octavius. Its description in RNAcentral is "signal recognition particle sRNA large type". It matches the Rfam family "Bacterial large signal recognition particle RNA". Rfam says of the family: The signal recognition particle (SRP) is a universally conserved ribonucleoprotein involved in the co-translational targeting of proteins to membranes. Archaeal SRP consists of a 7S RNA and homologues of the eukaryotic SRP19 and SRP54 proteins. The record is from RNAcentral. Lineage: Bacteria; Bacillati; Bacillota; Tissierellia; Tissierellales; Peptoniphilaceae. RNAcentral also lists the same sequence under 1 other name.